CCUACGGGAGGCAGCAGUAGGGAAUCUUCCACAAUGGGCGAAAGCCUGAUGGAGCAACGCCGCGUGGGUGAAGAAGGUCUUCGGAUCGUAAAACCCUGUUGUUAGAGAAGAAAGUGCGUGAGAGUAACUGUUCACGUUUCGACGGUAUCUAACCAGAAAGCCACGGCUAACUCCGUGCCAGCAGCCGCGGUAAUACGUAGGUGGCAAGCGUUAUCCGGAUUUAUUGGGCGGAAAGGGAACGCAGGCGGUCUUUUAAGUCUGAUGUGAAAGCCUUCGGCUUAACCGGAGUAGUGCAUUGGAAACUGGGAGACUUGAGUGCAGAAGAGGAGAGUGGAACUCCAUGUGUAGCGGUGAAAUGCGUAGAUAUAUGGAAGAACACCAGUGGCGAAAGCGGCUCUCUGGGCUGUAACUGACGCUGAGGUUCGAAAGCGUGGGUAGCAAACAGGAUUAGAUACCCCAGUAGUC
RNAcentral lists this ribosomal RNA (465 nucleotides) under uncultured bacterium. RNAcentral describes it as "partial 16S ribosomal RNA". It matches the Rfam family "Bacterial small subunit ribosomal RNA", at positions 338 to 795 of the family's 1533-position model. The record is from RNAcentral.